This 1059-nucleotide ribosomal RNA is filed under the name Triticum aestivum (bread wheat). RNAcentral describes it as "partial small subunit ribosomal RNA". The record is from RNAcentral. Lineage: Eukaryota; Viridiplantae; Streptophyta; Magnoliopsida; Poales; Poaceae.
AUGUUUAGGAAGAUGUUCCAAGGUGGUUCCUCUAAGAAGCAAGGACCCAGGAUUGCUAUGCGCGAUGCUGACGAGGAUCCACCAAGAGACGCUCCAGUACGGCCUUGCGAAUGGCCGUCGGAAAAUUUUAUGGACCGUGCGGGAAUUAAAGAAGAAUUCAAAGCAUAUUUGCGCAAUGCCGGUCUUGAGGAUUUUGAGGCUAACAAAUUCCCCCAGUAUCAUGAUCUCACAAGUUCAUUUGUGAGGAGGUUUGAGUAUUCAUCUUCGUGUAAUUCUCCUUCAGUCAUGUUUGAUCUUUAUGACAAAUCUUAUACCAUGGACCUAGAGGAUUUCACUUCUGCUUGUGAACUUCCAACAUGGGGCAGUAUUAGGGAUCCCCCUAAAUCUGAAUUUAGAAACUUUGUUGCUAGUAUAACUGUGGGGGAAUCUAGAGACAUAACGCAGGCUACCAUAGGGAGCAUUCACUUUCCUGCUAUACAUUAUUUUGCUCUCUUCAUCGGUAGAUGCAUAAAUGCUAAGGAUGAAGCAUGUCACAUGUGUGUCCCUGAUCUUAGCAUUCUUAGGAGUGCUGUGUUAGGAGACCAAUCUUAUCAUAUGGGAGCCAUUGUAGCUCGUAGGUUGCAUCAUAAUAGACAUAAUGGAGAUUUCUUUGGAGGAAUUUAUGCAACCCGCUUAGCUCAUUUUCUUGAAAUAGACAUUCGUGAGGGUGAUAUGGAGUUGCCUCCUACAUAUUUAGAUUAUAACUCUAUGGCUUCGCACCAGUUUGUCGAGAUGCCUGAAUCACCUCUCUUAUAUCGCUUAAUUUUUGAUAAACGACGUGUUUUCCGUAUUACUCUCCCUGCUCCUACCUUCUUUGAUUCACAGACAAAAGGAAGAUAUGUUAUUACUAGAGAGGAGUCAGAAGAGUACGAGAGGAGAGCGGAGGCAGCCAGACUCCACGCUGCAGCUCAGCAGGCGAUAACCGCUGCAUAUCAGUAUGAUCCCAACUAUCCUUCCUCAUCACAUGACGACACCAACAAUUAUUAUUAUGGAUAUCCGCCAGGCCAGCCGUGGCCAUAG